AUGUAUAAUCGCAAUCACAUAUGCUUCAAUUCGUCAAUACAACAGCAAAUACACACAUAGUUGAGGAGAAGAGUAAGAAAGGGACCGCGGUAUAGAUGGAAAUUUAUUACUUCACUGGUUUGAACUCAAAUAUGUGACGACCUGCGCACGGAACUCGAACGAACCAACCCCAAUAGGAAUUCCAAUCAAUCGAAUUUGAAUCCAAUUCCAACACUUAAAAGAAAAAUUCAUUUUAGGACCCAAACUCCAAAAAUAAAAAAAUGAACAGAUUUUCUUUUCUCAACUCGAUUUUUUUUUCUUUCCUUUCUCUUUGUUGACUGUAGGUGCAUACAGUGUAUUGUGGUACAUAUUGAUUUAGGCAAUAAAAUAGUAAAAAGCAACAAAAAAAAUAAAAAGAAGAGAAGGAAGAAGGUUGAUGCGGAAAGUAAGGAAAGGAAAAGAAGAAGAAGAAGAAAGAAGUUAU
RNAcentral lists this long non-coding RNA (463 nucleotides) under Nicotiana benthamiana. RNAcentral's name for it is "long non-coding RNA (NBEN_LNC010670)". The record is from RNAcentral. Lineage: Eukaryota; Viridiplantae; Streptophyta; Magnoliopsida; Solanales; Solanaceae.